UUCUUUCAUUCCACCGAAAAGUCUAUUGGCUUGCAAGUUCUGGACGUGAGGGCGAUCUGGCUGCAGUACCUGUCACCCGAUUGAUCUCGAGGGUUGAUUCGGCUGAUCUGGCUGGCUAGGCACAGAUAUGAGAGAACCCCAGAAAUGGAGGAGGAAGAAGAGUUUGUGUAUGAGAAACCAUUUCCUUCAAGCCUGCAGAAAUAGUCCAGAACCUGUGUGCUGUGAACGUGGAAUGAGCCAGGGCCGCCCUACCCCCAGCAAUCCAUGCAAAAAAGAGAAACAACUAAUCAGAGUGACCUGUGUGCAGCAUCCUGAAUCCUAAAGACACAGAGCUACUGUCGGAAUACAUGGGUGGAUAUGAGGCGGAAGCCCAAGCGGCACCACCUGCGCCUCUGUCUCUGACACCCACUGUGAAAGCAGAAUCAGCAGGUCUCCCAGGAGCUCCAGGGUAUUUAUCAAGGACUUCAAAUACACCAUGCCUGUGCCCUACGCAGGGAUAUAGUGAUGACCAGGAGCAUACCUAGAACCUGUGCCAUGGAGGGAAUCUGGUCAGAAAAGCAAAGACAUUUAUCUGAUGAUCACACAAGUA
Saimiri boliviensis boliviensis (Bolivian squirrel monkey) is the source of this 589-nucleotide long non-coding RNA. RefSeq lists it as uncharacterized. Lineage: Eukaryota; Metazoa; Chordata; Mammalia; Primates; Cebidae. The record is from RefSeq and is a predicted model, not a curated record.